UACGGGGGGGGCAAGCGUUGUUCGGAAUUACUGGGCGUAAAGGGCUCGUAGGUGGUCAACUAAGUCGGACGUGAAAUCCCUCGGCUUAACCGGGGAACUGCGUCCGAUACUGGAUGACUUGAGUUCGGGAGAGGGAUGCGGAAUUCCAGGUGUAGCGGUGAAAUGCGUAGAUAUCUGGAGGAACACCAGAGGCGAAAGCGGCGCUCUGGGUCGCACCUGACGCUGAACUGCGAAAGCCAGGGUAGCGAACGGG
RNAcentral lists this ribosomal RNA (253 nucleotides) under uncultured bacterium. Its description in RNAcentral is "partial 16S ribosomal RNA". It matches the Rfam family "Bacterial small subunit ribosomal RNA", at positions 524 to 776 of the family's 1533-position model. The record is from RNAcentral.